Molecule: long non-coding RNA, 1931 nt
Filed under: Hordeum vulgare
Lineage: Eukaryota; Viridiplantae; Streptophyta; Magnoliopsida; Poales; Poaceae
Description: long non-coding RNA (HVUL_LNC017683)
Source: RNAcentral
UAUGUAAGAACUACCCAAUUCCACAUGAUCGAGUUACACAAUAGAAGCUACACAGUGGGAAACUAUACCAAUUGGUAUAGGGUCAUAACCCAUGGAAAUAACGCAAAAAUCCUUUUUCAUAAGGAUAAAUAACAUACACACAUCGACAUAUAACUUGACACGUCCAUUAGAUAGAACCGGCGUGGAGACAGAUGUUCAUAUCCUUUCACUACUUUUAUCUCCAACGUAUCAUUUUUUCUUGAUUCAACAAUGGGUCACUUAUUGAAGUCCUGAUGUAGAACUGUAUGCGCUUGUAUAUUAUAAAGGCAACUCCAUAUAACUUUGCACAGUCUGGGAUAACAAAUAAGGACCAUGUGCUAAUGUAGAACAUGCAUGUCUGCUUAGGUACGACAAUUAUUUAGAGAAGCAUUAUAAUUACUACAAUUUUCUUUGUAUCUAAUCAAAUAAUGUUACAUAAAAUAUGUGAACCAAAGUUAUGAAAUAAAUCUUAACCAAAAGCAGAAUAUUCAUGGAAAAUCAAGGCUUUAAAUAUUCCCAUAGAUACAAAUGUCAUCUUGAGUGGCAAGACAAAGAUGUAAUUUACCAAUCACAAACUAAACUAACAUGCAUAUUUAUACUAUAUGUUGUUUCAGAGGAUUUACCUAUUGUCAACUUAGUCAUGAGAAAACUCCAUGACAAAAAUAAUAAUAACAGUAGGACUACAAAAAUAUAAAAAGAAUACAUAAUAAUUCUAGUUCGGAGAACAUAUUACAUAGUUGCACACAUACUAGAAUAAAUCACACUCAAGUUUAGAACCUACCAUUCUUCUAAACGGCAGCAUGUAUCCCUAUCUAUGUCAAAUACUUGAAUUCCAUCAUACUGGUGACCUAACUAAAAUUGCAAACGUAGGAUAAUCGGGUUCCUAGAAAUAAAUUGAACACAAACCCUCUCUAAUACGAUUAUUUGCAGGGGACAUCUAUGAAACAUAAAAGCUCCGGCAAUAACAAAGAAGAAUUCGAGCAUCACCAAGCAUGAGGGAAUAAGUUCGAUCGGCCUUGUUAAUGACUAAGAAUCUGAGAACACUUAACGUACUCUCAAAACAUCAAGAGAUGGUCCCAUCAGAAUGUAAUGUGAACAACAUAAGGAAUUCCAUGAGUGGACCUAGAAUUUCGUUGGACCACUUACUUUUAAGAGGUAUGCAAGCAUCCAUGUGAAAUUGAAAACAUGCAAUUUGGAUAAAACAUUUAUAGGAAAUAACUCGAAGAUGGCUUCAGUUGAAAAAAGACCUCAAACUUGACUACAAAGAUCGAUGCAUAUUAAUACUGUAUGUGGUCUUGGAUAAUUUACCUUUAGCCUAUUUUUUUACUCGUCAGCGGAACUCCCCGAUGAAGACGAAUCCUAGGAGCAAGCCUACAAAAAUAGACAACUAAAUAAGAGAAUAUCACGUUGUCUUACAGAGUUAAACAAUUGAAAUAAUAUAAAUCUCGCUCUUGUCGAUGACAGGGGAUAGCUUAAUUACAUUUCUAAUAGCCCAUAGCUGCCUACCAAAAUAGAGAACAGAACAAUAAUACCUUCAAUAAUACUGUAUAGAGUUGAACACUUUUAGUAGUAUAAAUGAUACUCCCAUACAUGACCAUGGAAAUAUUACCAUCUUCUCACCCAUAUCAUGUACCAUUUGUGCCCAGUACUCCCCAUUUGUAAAACAAUUAUUUUGGAACUCGGAACUUUGUAAACUUUAAGGCUCCAUGAAAUAACAAAUUAAGAAGAAUUAGUAGAGAGAGCACGUGGGUAAAAAGAUAGAGAUCACAUUACCAACUUUCAGGAUGUCAAUAUAUUGUGGAAUCCAACUGAAAAUAUGAAUGUAAGAAAACAACCCCCUAUGUUUGCUUCAAGAAGGUAGCACCCAGUUUUACAUGGUAUGUAAGCCUGCAUGUAAACUCACUCUUGUCAAU